Molecule: RNA transcript, 2470 nt
Organism: Gastrolobium bilobum
Lineage: Eukaryota; Viridiplantae; Streptophyta; Magnoliopsida; Fabales; Fabaceae
Gene name: transmembrane 9 superfamily member 1
Exons: 13
Source: RefSeq, a predicted model, not a curated record
UAUUAGCAAACAGAGAGAGAGAGAAAGUCUCAAUAGUUCAAGGGCAAGUCCUUGUUUGGUUUCUCUCUCUUCAAGGUUUGAGAUCCAUCAUGUUCUUCAGAUUCUCUGUCCUGUUGCUCCUGUCUCUGUUCCUUUAUCCGGCGUUGGCUUCCGAGUCAGAUCACAAGUACCAACAAGAUGAGCCAGUUUUCCUUUGGGUGAACAAAGUUGGUCCUUAUAACAAUCCACAAGAAACAUACAAUUAUUACAGCCUCCCAUUUUGCCGUCCGCCUGGUAAUGCUGCACACAAAUGGGGUGGUCUUGGUGAGGUCCUGGGUGGCAACGAACUCAUUGAUAGCCAAAUUGAGAUAAAGUUUUUAGGAAAUGUGGAUAGGACCACCUUUUGCCGUCUGGAUCUUGAUGAAGCAAAGGUUAAACAGUUCAAGGAUGCAAUAGAGAAUAAUUACUGGUUUGAAUUCUUCAUGGAUGACCUUCCAUUGUGGGGGUAUGUUGGCGAGCUCCAUCCUGACAAGAACAGUGAUAAUGGCAAGCAUGUGCUUUACACGCACAAGAAUAUCAUUGUUAAAUACAAUAAAGAUCAGAUCAUUCAUGUGAAUCUCACUCAUGACAACCCUAAGCCUUUGGAAGCAGGAAGACCUUUGGACAUGACAUAUUCUGUCAAAUGGAUUUCUACUAAUAUCACUUUUGGACGCCGAUUUGAUGUAUACCUGGACUAUCCGUUCUUUGAGCAUCAGAUUCAUUGGUUCUCCAUUUUCAACUCUUUUAUGAUGGUCAUUUUCCUUACUGGAUUGGUGUCAAUGAUAUUGAUGCGAACUUUGAGAAACGACUAUGCAAAGUAUGCUCGGGAAGAUGAUGAUUUGGAAACUCUGGAAAGAGAUGUUAGUGAGGAAUCUGGCUGGAAACUUGUGCAUGGUGAUGUUUUUCGGCCUCCUCGCAGUUUGGUUCUUCAUUCAGCUGUUGUUGGUACAGGUGCUCAGCUUGCAUUGCUGGUUCUUCUUGUCAUCUUGUUGGCUAUCGUUGGGAUGUUGUAUGUUGGGCGAGGAGCCAUUGUCACAACCUUCAUUGUAUGUUAUGCUCUCACGUCAUUCAUUUCUGGUUAUGUGAGUGGGGGGAUGUACUCACGUAAUGGGGGUAAAAGUUGGAUUAAAUCCAUGAUCCUUACAGCAUCGCUGUUCCCAUUCUUGUGCUUUGGAAUUGGAUUUAUCUUAAACACAGUUGCUAUAUUCUAUGGAUCUCUAGCAGCAAUCCCUUUUGGUACAAUGGUGGUUGUCUUUGUUAUUUGGGCUUUCAUAUCUUUCCCUCUAGCACUUCUUGGCACAGUUGUUGGAAGAAACUGGAGUGGUGCUCCAAAUAAUCCUUGUCGCGUAAAGACCAUUCCUCGCCCCAUUCCUGAGAAGAAGUGGUACCUCACACCAUCUGUAGUUUCUCUAAUGGGAGGACUGCUUCCCUUUGGCAGCAUAUUCAUUGAGAUGUAUUUUGUAUUUACUUCCUUCUGGAAUUACAAGGUGUACUAUGUCUAUGGCUUCAUGCUAUUGGUUUUUGUGAUUCUUGUUAUUGUCACCGUUUGUGUGACAAUUGUUGGGACAUACUUUUUGUUAAAUGCUGAGAACUACCACUGGCAAUGGACUUCUUUCUUUUCAGCUGCCUCAACAGCUGUUUAUGUGUAUUUGUACUCAAUAUACUACUACUAUGUGAAGACAAAGAUGUCAGGCUUCUUCCAAACCAGCUUCUAUUUUGGAUACACUUUGAUGUUUUGUCUUGGACUGGGAAUUCUCUGCGGAGCUGUGGGUUAUCUUGGUUCGAAUUUGUUUGUGAGGAGGAUCUACAGAAACAUCAAGUGUGACUAAGGCUUUUCUGUGAGUCUAGAUCAGAGCACUUCUAUGUGUCUGUUGCUGGACACAAUAAAUUCUUAGAGGAAGCCUCUGGUCAUGUGUGGGGGGGACCAAACAAAAGUUUACAGGUAGUAUCACAGGGUUUUGAAGAUGAGGAUGUAUUCUUUCUCACAAUAUUAGGGAAGCCCUGAGCUUUUUUCCAUUGGCUGUAAUUGAAAGCCUUGAUUUAGAAUGCAGGGAUUGAUCUUUAUAAUUUAGAUAGCUAGCAACAUAUCAGACUCUUGUGGUUACACUCUUUCAUCCAUUUAUAUAUAGGUGCCCGAUUGACGGACUGAUGUCUGAUUCCCCAACACGGUUUAGCUAUUGAAUCAAUGCCAUGGGGUGUGAAAUGCAGCACGGCAAGGAUAAACAUUCAAUGGUUGUAGAAGCGAAAGUAUAUUGCUCGUGUUCCGCUUUCUUUGAGAUUCAAGUGUUCACGUUUGUUGUAAGCAAAAAUUCCCUUAACUGCUGAUGUGGGUUACAUUGGAAUUUGGCAAGAGUUUAAAUGAAAUUGAACAAAUUUUAUCACAGUUGCUCAUGCGUUUUCAUAUGUGCUUCGAGGUCUUUUCACAAGGUAAUUGUACAAUUAGCAUUACUCG